This 253-nucleotide ribosomal RNA is filed under the name uncultured bacterium. RNAcentral describes it as "partial 16S ribosomal RNA". It matches the Rfam family "Bacterial small subunit ribosomal RNA", at positions 524 to 776 of the family's 1533-position model. The record is from RNAcentral.
UACAGAGGUCUCAAGCGUUGUUCGGAUUCAUUGGGCGUAAAGGGUGCGUAGGCGGCGUGGUAAGUCGGGUGUGAAAUCUCGGAGCUUAACUCCGAAACUGCAUUCGAUACUGCGGUGCUUGAGGACUGGAGAGGAGACUGGAAUUCAUGGUGUAGCAGUGAAAUGCGUAGAGAUCAUGAGGAAGACCAGUGGCGAAGGCGGGUCUCUGGACAGUUCCUGACACUGAGACACGAAGGCCAGGGGAGCAAACGGG